This 117-nucleotide ribosomal RNA is filed under the name uncultured bacterium. Its description in RNAcentral is "partial 16S ribosomal RNA". It matches the Rfam family "Bacterial small subunit ribosomal RNA", at positions 1357 to 1482 of the family's 1533-position model. The record is from RNAcentral.
AUACGGUGAAUACGUUCCCGGACCUUGUACACACCACCCGUCAAGCCAUGGAAGCUGGGUGUACCUAAAGUCGGUAACCGUAAGGAGCCGCCUAGGGUAAAACUAGUAACUGGGGCU